UGAGAGAUGGCUCAGAGGUUAAGAGCGCUGGCUGCUCUUCCAGAGGACCUUGGUUUGAUUCCCAGUCACUUAA
Molecule: transfer RNA, 73 nt
Organism: Neotoma lepida (desert woodrat)
Lineage: Eukaryota; Metazoa; Chordata; Mammalia; Rodentia; Cricetidae
Rfam family: tRNA
About the family: Transfer RNA (tRNA) molecules are approximately 80 nucleotides in length. Their secondary structure includes four short double-helical elements and three loops (D, anti-codon, and T loops).
Source: Rfam